CGGUCAGAGANAACGCUGNGGGCGCGCGCAUCACACGCAAGUGGAACACCAGCGCACAAGAGCUUGGUCUUUGGGUGGCGAGUGGCGGACGGGUGAGUAAUGUCUGGGGAUCUGCCCGGUAGAGGGGGAUAACCACUGGAAACGGUGGCUAAUACCGCAUAACGUCGCAAGACCAAAGAGGGGGACCUUCGGGCCUCUCACUAUCGGAUGAACCCAGAUGGGAUUAGCUAGUAGGUGGGGUAACGGCUCACCUAGGCGACGAUCCCUAGCUGGUCUGAGAGGAUGACCAGCCACACUGGAACUGAGACACGGUCCAGACUCCUACGGGAGGCAGCAGUGGGGAAUAUUGCACAAUGGGCGCAAGCCUGAUGCAGCCAUGCCGCGUGUAUGAAGAAGGCCUUCGGGUUGUAAAGUACUUUCAGCGGGGAGGAAGGGAUGAAGCUUAAUACGCUUCGUCAUUGACGUUACCCGCAGAAGAAGCACCGGCUAACUCCGUGCCAGCAGCCGCGGUAAUACGGAGGGUGCAAGCGUUAAUCGGAAUUACUGGGCGUAAAGCGCACGCAGGCGGUCUGUCAAGUCGGAUGUGAAAUCCCCGGGCUUAACCUGGGAACUGCAUUCGAAACUGGCAGGCUAGAGUCUUGUAGAGGGGGGUAGAAUUCCAGGUGUAGCGGUGAAAUGCGUAGAGAUCUGGAGGAAUACCGGUGGCGAAGGCGGCCNANNA
RNAcentral lists this ribosomal RNA (721 nucleotides) under Pantoea brenneri. RNAcentral's name for it is "bacterial SSU rRNA". It matches the Rfam family "Bacterial small subunit ribosomal RNA", at positions 21 to 731 of the family's 1533-position model. The record is from RNAcentral. Lineage: Bacteria; Pseudomonadati; Pseudomonadota; Gammaproteobacteria; Enterobacterales; Erwiniaceae.